Molecule: ribosomal RNA, 98 nt
Filed under: uncultured bacterium
Lineage: Bacteria
Description: partial 16S ribosomal RNA
Rfam family: Eukaryotic small subunit ribosomal RNA
Source: RNAcentral
ACAAUAAAUAACAAUAUAGGGCUCUUUUGGGUCUUAUAAUUGGAAUGAGUACAAUUUAAAUCCCUUAACGAGGAACAAUUGGAGGGCAAGUCUGGUGC